This 253-nucleotide ribosomal RNA is filed under the name uncultured bacterium. RNAcentral describes it as "partial 16S ribosomal RNA". It matches the Rfam family "Bacterial small subunit ribosomal RNA", at positions 524 to 776 of the family's 1533-position model. The record is from RNAcentral.
UACAGAGGGUGCAAGCGUUAAUCGGAAUUACUGGGCGUAAAGCGUGCGUAGGUGGUUUACUAAGUCAGGUGUGAAAUCCCCGGGCUCAACCUGGGAACUGCGCUUGAUACUGGUAAACUAGAGUUUAGUAGAGGGAAGUGGAAUUCCACGUGUAGCGGUGAAAUGCGUAGAUAUGUGGAGGAACACCAGUGGCGAAGGCAGGUCUCUGGGCCAUUACUGACACUGAGGAGCGAAAGCGUGGGGAGCGAACAGG